RNAcentral lists this ribosomal RNA (425 nucleotides) under uncultured bacterium. Its description in RNAcentral is "bacterial SSU rRNA". It matches the Rfam family "Bacterial small subunit ribosomal RNA", at positions 917 to 1345 of the family's 1533-position model. The record is from RNAcentral.
GGGCCCGCACAAGCGGUGGAGCAUGUGGUUUAAUUCGAUGAUACGCGAGGAACCUUACCAGGGCUUAAAUGUAAGUUGCAUUAGCUAGAGAUAGCUAUUUCUUCGGACCACUUACAAGGUGCUGCAUGGUUGUCGUCAGCUCGUGCCGUGAGGUGUCAGGUUAAGUCCUAUAACGAGCGCAACCCCUGUUGUUAGUUGCCAGCGAGUAAUGUCGGGAACUCUAACAAGACUGCCGGUGCAAACCGUGAGGAAGGUGGGGAUGACGUCAAAUCAUCACGGCCCUUACGUCCUGGGCUACACACGUGCUACAAUGGUCGGUACAGAGAGCAGCCACUACGCAAGUAGGAGCGAAUCUACAAAACCGAUCUCAGUUCGGAUCGGAGUCUGCAACUCGACUCCGUGAAGUCGGAAUUGCUAGUAAUCGC